UUUAAGGGUCCUGAAGGAACGUUGAAGACGACGACGUUGAUAGGCCGGGUGUGUAAGCGCAGCGAUGCGUUGAGCUAACCGGUACUAAUGAACCGUGAGGCUUAACCUUACAACGCCGAAGGUGUUU
Molecule: ribosomal RNA, 127 nt
Filed under: Escherichia coli
Lineage: Bacteria; Pseudomonadati; Pseudomonadota; Gammaproteobacteria; Enterobacterales; Enterobacteriaceae
Description: partial 23S ribosomal RNA
Rfam family: Bacterial large subunit ribosomal RNA (bases 1-109)
Source: RNAcentral